UACGUAGGGUGCAAGCGUUGUCCGGAAUUAUUGGGCGUAAAGAGCUUGUAGGCGGUUUGUCGCGUCUGCUGUGAAAUUUCGGGGCUCAACCCCGAACUUGCAGUGGGUACGGGCAGGCUAGAGUGUGGUAGGGGAGGCUGGAAUUCCUGGUGUAGCGGUGAAAUGCGCAGAUAUCAGGAGGAACACCGAUGGCGAAGGCAGGUCUCUGGGCCACUACUGACGCUGAGAAGCGAAAGCAUGGGGAGCGAACAGG
This 253-nucleotide ribosomal RNA is filed under the name uncultured bacterium. RNAcentral's name for it is "partial 16S ribosomal RNA". It matches the Rfam family "Bacterial small subunit ribosomal RNA", at positions 524 to 776 of the family's 1533-position model. The record is from RNAcentral.